This 232-nucleotide long non-coding RNA is filed under the name Mytilus galloprovincialis (Mediterranean mussel). The record is from RNAcentral. Lineage: Eukaryota; Metazoa; Mollusca; Bivalvia; Mytilida; Mytilidae.
AAUAUGGCGGGAAAAGGCUGACUUGGACUAUUACCUUAUAUUUGCAUUGGUAUUAUUUGGGUCUCAAAUCAAAAGAAAGAAAAUCAAGAAUCUGCUUAAAUUUUGUCAAUUGACCUUUUAUGAGCUACCAAGUCUUAUGUUAAAAGAUAAAUAGGUGUUAUGGGGCAAAAUAUUUUACCUUGUAUCGUAUGGAAAAACACCAAGGAGUCCGAACAUUUGACACUUAUUUCAA